Long non-coding RNA from Brassica rapa (field mustard), 8684 nucleotides. RefSeq lists it as uncharacterized. NCBI's taxonomy places the organism in Eukaryota, Viridiplantae, Streptophyta, Magnoliopsida, Brassicales, Brassicaceae. The record is from RefSeq and is a predicted model, not a curated record.
UAAUGAAAAACAAUAAUAACAAUAAUAAUAAUAAGACUCUUAAAUAAUAUUUAUAAUUAAUUUUUAAUAAAAGUCGUUUUUAUUAUUAUAAUAUAUAUAUUUUUGAUUGUGAUAUAGUUUAACAUAUAUCACAUUUUUAAAUAUAUAACUACCAUGUGUCACGAUCAUUUUAAUUAGCAAUUUUGAAGAACCAAGCUCAAUAUAAUCUUUUAUAAUUAUAUUUUCAUUAGAAGUUUAGAAAAUAAAAAUUAUAUUAAAUAAAUUGUUUUCAAAUCUAUUUUUUAGGAUUUUGAAAAAUAAAUAUUUCUAAAAACAUUAAUACUAAUUAUUUUUAAAAAUCGUUUUUACUAUUAAAUAAUUUUUAAAAGUAGUUUAAAAAAAAAUAUUAUCUUAUUAUAUAGAUUUUUAAUCUUUUAUAUAUUUAAACACAUGUCACAAUAUUAGAAAGAAAAUUAUUAUCAAAUAAUCUUUUGCAAUAAUCUUUUGAUUAGGAUUUUUAAAAAGUAAAAUUACUAUUAAAUAAUAUAUUUAAUAAGAUUUCUAAAUAAAAUUCGCUUUUGUUGAUAUCUUAGUAUAUAUAUUUUUAAUUAUGAGAUAGAUUAACACAUGUCAGAAUCUUAAAUAUAUAAUUGUUAUGUGUCGCGAUCAUAUUAAUUAGCAAUUUUGAAGAACCAAGCUUUAUAUAGUAAGAUAAGAUAUUUUUAAAAUAAAAUUAUUAUUAAAUAAUUAUAUAGGUAUAAAAUUUUUUUUAUAAUAUGUCGUAAUCUUGAAUAUUUUAUUGUCAUCUAUCAAAAUAAUUUCAUUUGUAACUAUUUUUGUUUGAGAAAUUGUCAAUAAUACCAUUUUUCUUAUACUAUUUUUCACUUAUACAAUAACCAACUAUACCACCAGAUUUUUAAUGGUCAAAAUACCAUUGUACCCUUAAAUAAUUAAACCUAAAUUACUCUUCUUCUCCCCUACGACAGGUGUCUCUCGCCGGAGAUAUCGGACAGGUUUCUCUCGCCGGAGGUAUCGUCUCCGAUCCGAUCAGUUACUGUGAGAUCGCAAUUGAGUACGCCUCUAAUUUCAGGUAAAGAUGAGUGAGGGACUCGGACUGCUCUCUUCGCCACUGGUGCUUUUGGUCUAUAGUAAGCCUUCUUCAUACCUUUCAUUGUAUUGUUGGUUUUGAUCUAAUGAUUUUAAUUUUAAUUUCCUGCUCUAGAAGUACAAGUCGGAGCACCAGAAAUGAGAGAGAGCUCUGAUAUUAAAGAUCUAAUCUCCUACAGAUACGAUUUAAUCAACUUACUGAACUCCAAGAACGGAUUCGGCGUCGUAUCGCAUAGCUUCAACCACUCAAAAGCUCUCCACUUCGCUUGCGAUGAGGAUUUCAAUCAGAUUCAGGAAUCUAUUAAAGGUUAGUUUCUUCACUUGGGUCUCUAGAAAACUUCGAAAGACUGAUACUUUACAAGAAUCAACAAUAUAAAAGUGUUCAAUUUGUUUUGUUUUGUUUUAAAAGAAAAAAAUGCAGAUUGUAAGAAGAAGCUAGAAGCUUGCAAGAAGAAAACAGAGGAAGCUUAUUCAGAUGAAUCAGCAGGAGACGAUGACAUUGAGCGUCUUCAGAAAGAGCUUGAUGAAGAUAUGGAACUAGAAAGCAAGAUAAAUGACGAGCUUAGAUAAGUGUAUAUACUUUAGUUUCUAGUCCCUUGGUUCAGUGACAAGAAAAGUCUUUGUUCUGUCUGUCAAUACAGUCGUUGCUGAUGAACUCAGACACCUGAAUGCACAAUGGACAUCGGUUGAUGAAAAGAGGCAAUCUUUAAAGAGUAAAGACCGGACGACUUGAGAGCUGAGAAGAAGCUUUCUAUGUAUGUUUGUGUCACAAAGGUUAUACCAGAAGCAGACGUUAAUGAUCCAUCAAAGAUAUCAGGCUGUAUCCUUCUAUGUAUGCUUGUGUCACAAAGGUUAUACCAGAAGCAGACGUUAAUGAUAAAUCAAAGAUCUCAGGCUGUAUCCUUUUUCUUUUCAUCAUCUCUCUACUUCACGAGUCUCAUUCCUUGAGUGUUUUCAAUCCUUGAUUUAAAGUAUUCAUUAGAUAUGGUUUGAGAAGUUCCAAUUAGAGACAAAUAAGAUGACGGCCUAUGAGACAUGUAACAGUAUCUGGAGCAUCAUCAUAAACAAGCAAUCCUAUGAUAUCAAAUGAAUAAACAUUAACGUAAAGAACGUAAACAAGAAUUGAAAACCGCUGGGCUUCAUUCAUACCUUCUCUCCUAAGAAAGCUGGAGACAAACAUGCUUAGACCUGAUGGUCCAAUGACAUAACCAACAAGAUUUGCCAUCUGCAAAUUGAGAAACUUUAUAAAUACUUUCAUAAAGAUUUACUUAUAAUUUUUGUAAGAAUUUAUAAAUGAUCUAUAAACUCUUCUAACUGAUUUAUAAAUUGAUUUAUAAACUCUUAUAAAUUGUGUUAUGAAGAUUAUUAAAUUCUUAUAAUCUUUGGAAUAAACCCUUAUAAAUAGAUUUAUAAACUCUUAUAAAUAGAUAUAUAACCUUGUAAAUUAAUUUAUAAACACUUUUAAAUAAAUGUAUAAACUCUUAUAAAUAGCUUAUAAGUUCUUGUAAAUAGUUUUAUAAACUCUUUUAAAUAUUUUUAUAAACCUUUAUUAAAUGCUUAUAUAUUAGUUAUAAAGGUUUAUAAAAUGUUUAUACUAGUUAUAAUGGUUUAUAAAUUAUUUGUAAGGAAUUAUAUAUAAUUUAUAAAGGUUUAUAAAUAAUUCUGAAGAUUUAUAGAUCAUUUCUAAUGAUUUCUAAGUUAUUUAUAAUGGUUUAUAUAUACUCUGGUCUGGAUGAUCUUGCAGCAGCCUGCAAGGCAAUGGAAGGUGUAGAAGUAAUUAAUGGCCUUGGGUGCAAGAUGUCUUUCUCAUCCUACAAGGUAAACAGUGAAUCUAUUCUUAAACCAAACCGGUAUGAGGUUUCAUGUUUUGAUAAUCUUGAACUAGAAGAACCAAUAUACACACAAGGCCGGUCCUGGGCAAAGCCUAAUGAAAGGUCUUGGGUAAAGCCUAAUGAAAGGUCUUGGGCAAAGCCUAAUGAAACAUUCCUUAGGCCCCCAAACUCUUUGAAAAAUUUUAUAUGUAAAUAGGCCCCCAAAUUAAAAAAAAAAGUUUAAGCCCCGAAAUUUUUUAAAUCUUUACUAAAUCGUCUAGGACCCCCAAAUUCUCAGGACCGGUCAUGUAUACACAUAUAUAUAUAUAUAAGGGCUGGUUGCUUCAUCUAGCUCUUAUGUAUUCAUAACAUCUCUUGUAGAUUUCGUAUGUUUUGGACACAGAGGAUUUCUUCCACAGGAAAAAGAAGCAGAAGAAGAAGAGCAAGAACUUGGAACAUGACAAAUCAUCAUCACAGCAACGCAACUUGUACAGAAUAGAAAGAUUCCACAACUUGUAUAAAUAGAUUUAUAAAUAGAUAUAUAACCUUGUAGAUUAAUUUAUAAACACUUUUAAAUAAAUGUAUAAACUCUUAUAAAUAGCCUAAAAGUUCUUGUAAAUAGUUUUAUAAACCCUUUUAAAUAGUUUUAUAAACCAUUAUAAAAUGUUUAUAUAUUAGUUAUAAUGGUUUAUAAAUUAUUUAUAAGGAAUUAUAUAUAAUUUAUAAAGGCUUAUAAAUAAUCUAAGGAUUUAUAGAUCAUUUGUAAUGGUUUCUAAGUUAUUUAUAAUGAUUUAUAUAUCCUUUCUAAGAGGUAUAUAUAUCAUUUAUAAGGGUUUAUAUUAUUUAUAAAAAUUCAUAAACCAUUUAAAAUCAUUUAUAAGGGUUUAUGCAUUACUAUAAGGGUUUAUGAAUUGUUUAUAAGAUAUUAAAAAUCAUUUGUAAUGGUUUAUAAAUCAUUUGUAAUGAUUUAUAGAUCAUUUAUAAGAUGUUUAUAUAUCACUUUAAUGGUUUAUAAAUAGUUUAUAUAGUCUUAUAAACAGUUAAUAUAAUAUUAUAAAUAACUUAUAAAACCUUAGAAAAUUAUUUAAAUUCAAAAGAAACCAUAAAAUUAUUUAUAAAGUCUUAUAAAUCGUAAUGCAUCUCCAUGUAAAUAGCUUUCAUCUAAUGACUACGGCCGAUUUGGAUGGCCUAACCUAUUUAUUAUACUGCUGCAUCCAUAGAUAAGCUCAUAGAAGCAUCCAUAACCGGAAAAUAUGCUACUAGCAUAGGCAUUUGAGCAAUGAAACCACCUCUGAGAGCCUGGCGGUUUUUGUGUUGUCAGGGUCUAGCCACAAACUGUGAGCUGAUUCUCAGUUGCAGUCAAUCUCUCCGGACAAGCCAUUGAAAAGCGCGGUCUCGUAUCCCAACGGUGAAAGAAUGGUGUGGCGGAAACAAAGCGGCUUGGUGAAGUUCGUUGCGUAUCUGAUCCCUGAAAACAAACCCGUCCAUGAUUCUUCCAGCUGCGUCUGCAAUAGAAUGUUUCACAACAUGGACAUGAAAACUCCUACUAGAUUCAUCUAACGAAAAGUAACUACAAAGAAGAGGAGUGUACCGUGCAGUGUCCAUCGAUGAAAACAACGUGUGGACGAUUAGGCGAACCAGUGACUCUAGAGGAAACAUAAGUGCUGUACCAAUCUGUCACGAUAUGGAACAUAUUUGCAUACUCGAAUCAAGUGACUAGCAGAGUUGGCUCCUCCAUCCACUGGAGCCAAGGCAAAAACCAAAACCAAAACCAAAACCAAAACCAAAACAUCAAUCAACAAGUACAAUUUCAACGAUUCAUUACUCCAUUUCUUUAAUUGGAUCUGAUCUUCCAUGACAGACUUUUGUUUCAAGAAAAAAAACUUUCUAAUUAUAUAAUUUUAAAUAAAUCUUAUAAAUGAUUUAUAGACACUUAUAAAAAGUUUAUAUAUUUUCAUAUAAAUGAUUUUUAAGACUUUAUAAAUGAUUUUAUAAAACCUUAUAAAUAUUUGGUAUAUUCUUAUAAGUGAUUUUAUAAAGGUUUAUAAAUCAUUUAUAGGAAUAUAUAUAUAUAAACUAUUGAUAAAGGUUUAUAAAUGAUUUCUAAAUCUUUAAAAUGAUUUAUAAACAUUUAUAAAUUAUUUAUAAUCCUUAUAAAGCCUUAUAGACUGAUUUUAUAAAUUCUUAUAAAUGAAUUAUACUUUAAUAAUUUAUUUAGAAAGCCUUAUAGACUGAUUUUAUAAACUCUUAUAAAGUCUUAUUAAUUGUUUUAUAAACCAUUAUAAAUAAUCUUUUAUUUCUUAUAAAUAAUUUACAAACAUUUAUAAUAGAAUUAUAGACAAUUAUAAUAGCUUUAUGAAUAUUUACUUCUAAAGUUUUGUAAAGAUUUAUAAACUCUUACAAAAGAUUUAUAAACUCUUGAAAAAUAUUUAUUAACUCUUAUAAAUUGUGCUAUGAAGAAUAUUAAACUCUUAUAAUAUUUUUAUAGAACCUUAUAUACAGAUUCAUAAACUUUUAUAAAUAUAUUUAUAAAACCUUAUAAAUGAUUUAUCAGUUCUUAUAAAUGGUUUUAUAAACCCUUAUAAGAGGUUUCUAACAUGCAACAUAAUAUAGAUUAGCUAGAGCCCAAGCUGCGGCAAGACUACCUUCCUUUCCCUUGUAUCAGAACUUUGCAAUUGAUCAACCUUCUCGGUGGGAAGAUAAGGGCCAGUUUCAUCCAUCCUAGGACCAACAGAGCCUCUUCCACGUUUGUUCCUGUCAUUUACAAAGAGACUCAGAAGAUGAAGGAAGCUAAAGGUAACAGAAGCUAUAGCAAAUAGACAUAUACACCGUGAUUGGAGAAAAGACUCAAUCUCAUCAUCUCCUAAACCUUCAUCAUCAUCAUCCAAGUACAAUCUUUUGUCCGAUGAUGAUUGUUGAGUGAUCUUUCUCUCAUCAUUAAUGGAGCUACAUCUCUUAUCCAAAAUCCUUUUCGAGAAACUACUACUCCGCUUCAUUUGGCUACUGCUCCUGCUGCUUUCCUCUCUUGAUUUUCUUUUGAGCCUUUCGUUUUCUAGCUCCCGAGCCUUCCACAUCUCAUUGGUUUCUACCGCUCUGUUUGCUGUAUUAUGCUCAAGAACCAUGCAAGAGAUUAGAGUAAAUAAUUAACAACAUGUUGAGCUACAUUGAGUACUAGACAGACACGUAAGUCACAACAUUGAACUGUUAAGAAACGCAGAACCCAAAACAAAAAUUUCAGAUGCUGCCAACUUUCUUAUCGUGAAUCGACCAAUCACCAACAGUUAAACUAAUCCUCUUCCAAAAACAUGCAUCUAUUGCUUCAACGAACAAAAGAAUAUCACACACUAUACCAAUGCAAAGGCUUAUCCUUUUCAAUCUUAACUUUUGUAAAACGAAAAUAAGUGAAGGGUGGAAAGAAAAGCAUUACAUUGUUUAACACCAAGGACAGUUGCUGUGAGAAACCUUGAGUUAGGUCGAUGCCUUACAUUAGGCUUCCCAAGAUAAGCUCGGACACCAUCUUUUUCAGCUUGUCUCCUCAACUCUGCUGCUUCUCUCAACAGAACUGAAGCUAUUUGAUUUUCAGUUUCCAGAUCCAUCCACACAAGCAGGCUGUUAAAGUAACCAAACACUCAAAAUCUGAUAUAGAAAGCCCGAAAAUUUUCUGCCACAAGAACCGCACCGGUGGAAUAAGAGAGAGACGGUGGAUCUCCGGUGAAUCAGAGGCAGAGAGUAAGAAAAAAGAUCGCGAGAGAGAGAGAGGAAGAGAAGAGGAUCGCGAGAGAGAGAGAUAAGGUUAGGGCUAGUAUGGUCUUUUGAUCAUUAAUGAAAAGUGUAUUUGUGAAAAUAUCCUCAUUCUAGUGGUAUACUUGAAAUGUGGUACCAAAGAAAGUGUAAAAGUAAAAUUUUCCCUUUUUGUUUCUUGUUUAAUUAGUAUUUUUCUUUUUUUUUUGCAGCAAAAGGAUAUUCUAUUACUCAAACUUGAGGUGGUCUGGAUAGCCAAACCGGAAUAGAACAACCUAUAAAACAUAAAGGUCAAUGUAAAGAACGUGCACUCAUAGCUAACGAAUCUGCAAUCUCAUUUUGCGUCCUUGGGAAGUAGCUGAUCUUGAAGUCCGAAAAACACAACCGAAGAGUUUGAAUGAUUUCCAGUUCAGUUGAGAAGUUAGGCCAAGCUUGUGGCUGUUCUAUCAUUGCAAUCAGGUCUUUGCAAUCUGUCCUAAAUCUCUGACAGGUCGAGUGUUAUAUCAUUCUUUCCAUUGCCCAUUGUAGCGCUUCCAGUUCCGAGUGUAGUGAUGUUUCACGCCUCCUUAGAUUCCUUGUCCCCAUGAGUUGAAUCUUUCCCAUGGUAUCCUUCCACACCCAUCCCAAUCCACUAAACUGAGCUGUGGAGGUCUAUGAACUAUCCACCAUGCAAAUAUUAUUCAAGCUUAAGGCUUGUGUUUCUUCAGCAAUCUGUACCUGCAGAGGAACCGGUAUAGUUUCCCUCGCAUUAUACCAUGCUUGACAUUCGCUUUCUGCAUAUCUAAUUAGUAUUUUAUUAAAAAAUAAAAUUCAAUAUAUAAUAUAAAUUUAUAAUAAACUAUUUUGUUGAUGUAUUCUAGAAAGCUUAGAGCAACUUUAACGUCAAGUUCUUAAAAACAGGUUCUUAAAUGUAAAAUAUUACUGUUUUAAUUUGUUUUGUUUCAAUCAUAAAAUAAAAUCCAUAAAGUCAUUGAUGUAUUGACAUGUGAGAGGAGAUGUUACAGAGAGUUUCUUCCGGAUACUAAUUAAGGACCGAUUACUGUGUGUUUUUAAAUAUUUUUUUUAAUAUAUUUUCUUAAUGUGGUUGCCAAGCCAGUGUGUUCUAAGCUUUGCUUCAUCUUAUGGUCUUUUUGUGUACGCACUGUUUGGAAACUUUGUCUCGGCCCUUAACAAGUUCUUCAAGGUAUGAUGUGAUAGCUUUCCACAAAUCUUACACUUUCUUGUUCAACAUGAAGAAAUACCCUCUUGUUUUUUUCAUUGUUUUUUUUUUUCUAGUUUAUGGCCUCGUAUGCUCGAAUGAAUAGAUAAAGUUAGCUUGGAAUAAAAACUUAUAGGAAAAGUUCAUAUACGAGAUGGAUAUCUAUCUUAGAAAUGGACCAUUUUGUACAGUUUAAGAGUUUGGAACGGAAGUGAAACAAUCUGAAACUCGGAAGACCUUUUAUGAAAAUAUUGAAGAAACCUACCAUUGGAGAAGUUUGCCUGAACUCAUAAACGGUGCAGAUUUGUCCCAUCGAUUUAGCACCAAGCAUUUUAAUUGUACAGACUAGACCUUCUUCAUUAUAAUUGGACAAGGGUCCUCAUGUUUUGGUUGGUUUAAGAAACAACGUCUUGAUUUCGGCUCAAACUUCCAAUUAUAGAAUUUAGACCAUGUUAUACGCACUAUAAUUUUAGACCCUGUAACAUUAUUUAUGUAAAUGGCCCAAUACCUAAUUUUCUCCAUGGGCCUUUCCAGUUACAAACUACUACUUCCUAGUUACCCUUACGGUUAAAGCUAAAAUAUUUUUGAUAAUUUACUCGUAAAACAUCCAUCCGUAGAUAUUUGAGUGUGACUAUGGCUGCCUAAGAAAGUAUUCAAACGCAUAAAUUAUAUUUCUAAUUAGCAUGUGUAUAAGAACACGUAUUCAACUAGUAUGUAUUUUCUUUUAUUCAACUUCAUAUGAAGUUGUUGGUUCUGAUUAGAGGUACCAAUUCAAAUAUCAGAAACACCGAGAGGAUAAAAACCAUAACAAACAUGAAUAUCCAUAAGAAAUUAAAGAGACGACAUAU